UACGUAGGGCGCGAGCGUUGUCCGGAUUUAUUGGGCGUAAAGAGCUCGUAGGCGGUUCGGUAAGUCGGGUGUGAAACCUCCAGGCUCAACCUGGAGACGCCACCUGAUACUGCUGUGACUCGAGUCCGGUAGGGGAGCGUGGAAUUCCUGGUGUAGCGGUGAAAUGCGCAGAUAUCAGGAGGAACACCAGCGGCGAAGGCGGCGCUCUGGGCCGGAACUGACGCUGAGGAGCGAAAGCGUGGGUAGCAAACAGG
Molecule: ribosomal RNA, 254 nt
Filed under: uncultured bacterium
Lineage: Bacteria
Description: partial 16S ribosomal RNA
Rfam family: Bacterial small subunit ribosomal RNA
Source: RNAcentral